GGGUACAGCUCAGUGGUAGAGUGCAUGCCUAGCAUGCAUGAGGUCCUGGAUUCAAUCCCCAAUGUUUCCA
RNAcentral lists this transfer RNA (70 nucleotides) under Camelus bactrianus (Bactrian camel). It matches the Rfam family "tRNA". From Rfam's summary of the family: Transfer RNA (tRNA) molecules are approximately 80 nucleotides in length. Their secondary structure includes four short double-helical elements and three loops (D, anti-codon, and T loops). The record is from Rfam by way of RNAcentral. RNAcentral also lists the same sequence under 2 other names. Lineage: Eukaryota; Metazoa; Chordata; Mammalia; Artiodactyla; Camelidae.